Hypoxylon sp. CO27-5 is the source of this 131-nucleotide non-coding RNA. The record is from the annotation of a GenBank genome assembly. NCBI's taxonomy places the organism in Eukaryota, Fungi, Ascomycota, Sordariomycetes, Xylariales, Hypoxylaceae.
GGGCUUGUGGUUUAGUGGUAUAAUACUCCCUUAGCACGUGACGAAGCAUGCCGGCGUCUAUACGACUGUUGGCUAGCCACUCGUCCGGUCUAUAAUGGGAGUGGUCCGGGGUUCGAUUCCCCGCGAGUCCA